RNAcentral lists this long non-coding RNA (1109 nucleotides) under Saimiri boliviensis boliviensis (Bolivian squirrel monkey). RNAcentral's name for it is "lncRNA (ENSSBOG00000036548.1)". The record is from RNAcentral. Lineage: Eukaryota; Metazoa; Chordata; Mammalia; Primates; Cebidae.
CGAGUGGAUUGGCUGCUCCGGCUUACCGGAAGUGCCGCUCAAGCCCGUGCUCUACUGCGCUUGCGCAGUCGUCCCCUGUAAUAUGCGCGUCUCCGGUUACUUCUUUGCUGGCGUCUUAGUCCAUUUGUUUGGCUCUUUGUGCUGCGCAAUGUCGUCGUGUUGGUGGCGGUCUUCAGUAACCGGGACCUUGGAGGCUGGGAGGGAUAGCUGAUGUGCAGGGCCAGCACUGGGGGCGAGCUCAGGGCGGGCAGGGAUGUGCUCGAGGAGUGAGGCCCGCAACCCUGCAGAGGGCGCCCGGUCCUGUUGACUCACUCCUUGCUGGGGUGAGACAGUUGUUAGGGUUAAGUUUGCAUUUCAGAACGUUCUGGUAAGGGCUUUGUAGCAGGGUGAGAGUGAAGACCUGUGCAAGAGAAGAAGCCAUAAGGGUUCAAGAUGCCAGGCGAAGCCACUUACCAACCUUUGCUCGUCCCACGCCUGGGAGAACUCGAGUGGUUUCCUCUAACUGCACAGGACCACUGUGAGCCAUUUCUACUCUGUCCAGUUCAACAGCUGUCUCACCUGGAAAGCCACUUUUCCUGUUCACCUGCCUCUGGAGGCCCACCUUUCCCAAGCCCUACAUCACAGCCUCUGAGAUUUGGUUAUUCCUUCCGGGAAACUCGCCUCUCUGACCUCUCUCCUCAGCUAGAGACCACCUGCCUCCUUUCUCCACAAGGAUGUUUCAAAGGCUGCUAAAACUUGACAUUUCCUAAAAUAAAUACUUGGUUUCUGCUUUAAACCAGUCCACUUACUCUCUGUGCUUCAUCCAAAUGGUAAAGCUGAAGGCCUGAGCAUCAUUCUAGACUUCACUGGUCUCCAAAUCCCCAUAUCCAAUCAUUAAACUAUUCUUAUCCAUUCAGCCUCCUAAACAGCUCUGUGACUCACCCUUUGCUAUCCUCUCACACACAUGAAGGGGGUCCUAGCUAGUCAAAAGGCUGAGAUGAGAGGAUCCCUUGAGCCCAUCAGAUUGGGCUUCAGUGAGCUCUAAUUGUGCUACUGUACUCCAGCUUGGGUAACAGAGUGAGACACUGUCUCAAAAAAAAAAAAAAAAAAAAAAAAUCUGAAAUCCAAAA